GCCGCUGUGGUCUAGUUGGUUAUGAUACGAGUCUCAUACUUCUGUGUGAACGCGAAUUUACGCGUGCGAUCUUGUGGCCGGGAGUUCGAUCCUCCCCGGUGGCA
This 104-nucleotide transfer RNA is filed under the name Taphrina deformans PYCC 5710. It matches the Rfam family "tRNA". Rfam says of the family: Transfer RNA (tRNA) molecules are approximately 80 nucleotides in length. Lineage: Eukaryota; Fungi; Ascomycota; Taphrinomycetes; Taphrinales; Taphrinaceae. The record is from Rfam by way of RNAcentral.